UCUUUUCUGUAAUUUGUUGUUUUCUUUCGCUGAUAUUUUUAGAAUUCACACUAUUGUUUGGCUUGUUUCCAUCAGUUCUUGUUUUCUUUCUUAUUUUGAUUAACUUGUGGAGGAAUUCUCGACCUGGAAUUCCAUUUAAAUAAACAAUUUAUGGUCUCCACCGAAAUCCCAUAACUAUUGUGUUCUAUGUACAUGUCUUUCUGAAAGAAGGAAAAGAAAGAAACGCAUUUUCGUUUGUCUGUUGCAUAGGUAGUUUUUAACCAAAAUGGAGGAAGCUUCAAAUGGGAAAAAUGAGACCAAAAUUGUGGAACGACAGGAAGUUAUUGAGGAAGUUGAGGUGGCCGAUUCAGGGGAUAAAUUUUUGAAAGAAGUUGUUAUUGAUAGUACUGCUGAGUCUGUGAAAGAAACUAUUGAUGAGAAUAAUUCGAGUUUAGAGGUCAGCAAUAGUUUGAAGGAAGAGGCAAAGGCUAAAGAGAAAACAGUUCAAGUGGAGGAUUCAGAGAUACUGGAAGUGGUGGAGAAAGAGGUGGUUAAUUUAGCUGUUGGGUCGACCGAGUCUGUGGAGGAAAAAUUGGCUGAAACUAUUGAAGCAAUGGUGGAGAAAUAUGAGAACUCUGAUGUGGCUGAAGUAGAAGUGAAAGAAACCAAAGAGAAGGUUUCGGUGCCUUUGAACGAAACUAGUGUCUUUCCUUCAGUUGUCAAGGAUCAGAAUGAUGCGGAAGUACCUGAAGUGGUAUUGAAUGCAACAGAUGGAUCAUCUCUUGCUGUAACAGAUGAAGUGUCCAAGGGAAUUGAGGAGAACGUGUUGCAAUCUAUUGAUGAAAACAACGUGGCCCCUCCAGCUUCGACAGAGGCAGUGUCAAAGGGGAUCGAGGACGAGAAGCUGGCAGCUUUGAAGGAAAAUACUGGGGAAUCAUCUGGCAAUGUUGACAAUGAAACAGUGGAAAGUUUUGAAUCUACUACUGUAGUUGGAAGCAGCGAUGCUUUUCCUGAAAGCACAGGAGAUCCGCCUAUCAUAUCCCAUCAACAACGUAACCUGUGUCCAUCUUGGAGGAACUGCUGUGGCCUUUUUGAAGCUCUGAGGCGAUCCGAUAGAUAAAUUAAUUUCAUUCAGGAGCUUAUUCUAAUUGCCUGGGAUCUCAUGUGGACCAACUCUAUUUAGCAUUCACUAAGAUUUUCUUAUUUCCCUAUGUUAUAAGCUUAUGAAUUGAGAGACAGACAUUUACCUUAGACACUUAAUUUUUAAUUAAAACUGAAAAUCUGGCAGAGAUUUCCAUCCUAAAAGUUUUAGAUUAUUGGUAAAUGUCACUCAUGACUUAGCUAUAUCAUUAAAUGUGUGUAUCAUUGUCACCCCAAGACAAACUUGUGCGAUAAUCAAUGAUGUAUUGGCCAUUGCUUUAUGCUUUUACUACACUUAUGAUCUUGAAUUAAAUUGAUCACCUGAAGUGCAGUAAACACAACAUCAGCUUAUUCAGAAGGUACAGUUUCUGGUUUCUUUGAGUUUGAGAAAUUGGCCUUAGAUGGGAUUAAAUUAGAGGGGGGGAAAAGGUCCAUGUGAUCAACAGCAAAUAGUUAGCGGUUAAUGUUGAAUUGAAGUCGCAGAAGGUAGAGCCGUAGAGGGCAGGGAUUCAUGCAAGGUGGAAUCUGGCCUUGCUUUUCAGGAAAACCCACAAGCUCUUUUAAUUUUAUGUUGAUAAAGACUAAAGUUGCAAUAUUGCAGUUGCUCCUUACUGCUGCUAUAUCUGGUAAAACAUUCCCUGCGUUGCUUCAGAUUUGUUCCCUGCAACAAAAGAAUCCCUCUAGCAAGGCUUUCUUUGGCAUUGUUUUUUGCUUUUUCAGAAUUAUUCCGGAACAUUCAUUUCCUGUUGGUCGAUACAUAUCUAUGAUUGGUGUAGAAAUUCUGUUACUGCUAGAGUUAGGACGCUCUUCGUUGGACUUCAUUGAUCAGCGGAUUGUGGAACUCCUUGCUGUGUGCUCAGGGCUUUUGCUUCUUUGUGCUAACAUGUUUUGGUUUUCUGAAACUGUGUUCUGAAAAUAUCAAGAGGGGACAAUUUGAACUUAUUCGAGGGCAAACGUAUUUUGUAAGCUCCUGUAAUGCGAUAAAGAGCAUCGUCACGGAGUGCUGUUAAGAGAGAUCGACAAAAAUUUGAGACCUGUGCUGUGGUUUCUUUCUUGUGUCACAAAUCGAAUGUAACCGGAUCUUGCAGGGGAUGGGGAUGAAAACUUGCCGGUUAGCCUACAGCUCAUUGGCAAUUGUGUGGUGUGCUCCUCCUCCUCCUUGUCGUCUGUUUAUUUUAUUUCUUGUUUUUUCAAGGUAUUCUGAUUGUAUUAGAGUGAUUUGUAAUUAAGUUUGAUGGCAAAAAUGCCAUACUUUCGAUUGUAUAUUUAUAAAACAUAAUUUAUUGAUCAAUGAGAAAAGAGGUACAUUGACGAA
Molecule: RNA transcript, 2434 nt
Organism: Populus nigra (black poplar)
Lineage: Eukaryota; Viridiplantae; Streptophyta; Magnoliopsida; Malpighiales; Salicaceae
Exons: 4
Source: RefSeq, a predicted model, not a curated record